Xenia sp. Carnegie-2017 is the source of this 277-nucleotide long non-coding RNA. RefSeq lists it as uncharacterized. The transcript is spliced from 3 exons. NCBI's taxonomy places the organism in Eukaryota, Metazoa, Cnidaria, Anthozoa, Malacalcyonacea, Xeniidae. The record is from RefSeq and is a predicted model, not a curated record.
GUCACAUCUCAAGCGCAUGUGUAGUGUAUCUCAACCAUUUACGAAACAGAGAGCCUUUGUGGAGAUGCAAUAUCCAAACAUGCAAUCGAAGAAGGAUGGCCUCGCCAUAAGCGUCGUUUUAUACCUUCAAAAAAUGUGAUCACUGUGAUGAUUAUCUUGUAAAACCCUCGUGUGGGCAUGUAUCGUCUCAUAAAAGACCUUAUCGAAACAAUGUGUAAUGGUUUGACCUUACGAAUCGAACGGGAAUAAAUAAAAAUAUAUAUUUACAAAAGCUUAA